This 495-nucleotide ribosomal RNA is filed under the name uncultured bacterium. RNAcentral's name for it is "partial 16S ribosomal RNA". It matches the Rfam family "Bacterial small subunit ribosomal RNA", at positions 28 to 507 of the family's 1533-position model. The record is from RNAcentral.
GAUGAACGCUGGCGGCGUGCCUAAUACAUGCAAGUAGAACGCUGAAGGAGGAGCUUGCUCUUCUGGAUGAGUUGCGCACGGGUGUGUAACGCGUAGGUAACCUGCCUGGUAGCGGGGGAUAACUAUUGGAAACGAUAGAUAAUACCGCAUGACAACAGUUAUUGCAUGAUAACUGUUUAAAAGGGGCAACUGCUCCAUUACCAGAUGGACCUUCGUCGUAUUAGCUAGUUGGUGGGGUAACGGCGCAACAAGGCGACGAUACAGAGCCGGCCUGAGAGGGGGGUCGGCCAGCCUGGGACUGGGACCCGGCCCAGACUCCCUCCGGAAGGAGCAAUAGGGCAACGUCAGGCAGGGGCGGAAAUCUGACCGAGCAACGCCGCGGGGGUGUAGAAGGUUUUCGGGUCGGAAAGCUCUGUUGUAAGGGAAGAAACAGUUUGGGAGUGGAAAGUUCACACUGUGACGGUACCUUAACAGAAAGCGACGGCUAACUACGUG